Oncorhynchus kisutch (coho salmon) is the source of this 500-nucleotide long non-coding RNA. RefSeq lists it as uncharacterized. The transcript is spliced from 2 exons. NCBI's taxonomy places the organism in Eukaryota, Metazoa, Chordata, Actinopteri, Salmoniformes, Salmonidae. The record is from RefSeq and is a predicted model, not a curated record.
UGUAUCUAAUGAUCCAGCUGUGCCCCGCCUGAUGAUGAUGUUACUGGCUAUGUUUAUACUGUGUGUAUACUGGCUGUGUGUAUACUGGCUGUGUGUAUACUGGCUGUGUGUGUACGUACACUGGCUGUGUGUAUGGAUUAUCACUGUGCAGAUACAAACAAGGACCAGGGCAGUCGACUGCGAGGCCUAUGGAGGUUGUCUAUGAAAGACUCAAAGCAGAUAACCAAAGGGCCCGUGUGAAAGCCUGGGAGUCAGUCAUUUUCAGAGUGCGCACAUCUACUCACUGGCAUGCAAAGUGAACAAAGCGACUACUGAAACAACUUCAAAGUGUUGGCAUUGAAAAAGAGAUGACAGUUUUUCUCAUACACAUACAAGCAUUUAUUUUUUACUAAUGUUGUCAAUUUUCAAAGGUGUUCUCAAGACAGCUAUCAACAGUGAAUGCAUUUUUCUAAAUGUAGUUUGUUCUCAAAAUGCAUUCAUUAAAACUACAGUAAAAAGUU